This 465-nucleotide ribosomal RNA is filed under the name Vreelandella stevensii. RNAcentral describes it as "partial 16S ribosomal RNA". It matches the Rfam family "Bacterial small subunit ribosomal RNA", at positions 338 to 795 of the family's 1533-position model. Lineage: Bacteria; Pseudomonadati; Pseudomonadota; Gammaproteobacteria; Oceanospirillales; Halomonadaceae. The record is from RNAcentral.
CCUACGUGCGGCAGCAGUGGGGAAUAUUGGACAAUGGGCGAAAGCCUGAUCCAGCCAUGCCGCGUGUGUGAAGAAGGCCUUCGGGUUGUAAAGCACUUUCAGUGGGGAAGAAAGCCUUGGGGCUAAUACCCUCGAGGAAGGACAUCACCCACAGAAGAAGCACCGGCUAACUCCGUGCCAGCAGCCGCGGUAAUACGGAGGGUGCGAGCGUUAAUCGGAAUUACUGGGCGUAAAGCGCGCGUAUGCGGUCUGAUAAGCCGGUUGUGAAAGCCCCGGGCUCAACCUGGGAACGGCAUCCGGAACUGUCAGGCUAGAGUGCAGGAGAGGAAGGUAGAAUUCCCGGUGUAGCGGUGAAAUGCGUAGAGAUCGGGAGGAAUACCAGUGGCGAAGGCGGCCUUCUGGACUGACACUGACGCUGAGGUGCGAAAGCGUGGGUAGCAAACAGGAUUAGAUACCCUGGUAGUC